Molecule: ribosomal RNA, 1284 nt
Filed under: uncultured bacterium
Lineage: Bacteria
Description: bacterial SSU rRNA
Rfam family: Bacterial small subunit ribosomal RNA
Source: RNAcentral
GACUGAGCGGCGGACGGGUGAGUAACGCGUGGGUAACCUGCCUCAUACAGGGGGAUAACAGUUAGAAAUGACUGCUAAUACCGCAUAAGACUACGGUACCGCAUGGUACAGCAGUAAAAACUCCGGUGGUAUGAGAUGGACCCGCGUCUGAUUAGGUAGUUGGCGGGGUAACGGCCCACCAAGCCGACGAUCAGUAGCCGACCUGAGAGGGUGACCGGCCACAUUGGGACUGAGACACGGCCCAAACUCCUACGGGAGGCAGCAGUGGGGAAUAUUGCGCAAUGGGGGAAACCCUGACGCAGCAACGCCGCGUGAUUGAAGAAGGCCUUCGGGUUGUAAAGAUCUUUAAUCAGGGACGAAACAAAUGACGGUACCUGAAGAAUAAGCUCCGGCUAACUACGUGCCAGCAGCCGCGGUAAUACGUAGGGAGCAAGCGUUAUCCGGAUUUACUGGGUGUAAAGGGCGCGCAGGCGGGCCGGUAAGUUGGAAGUGAAAUCUAUGGGCUUAACCCAUAAACUGCUUUCAAAACUGCUGGUCUUGAGUGAUGGAGAGGCAGGCGGAAUUCCGUGUGUAGCGGUGAAAUGCGUAGAUAUACGGAGGAACACCAGUGGCGAAGGCGGCCUGCUGGACAUUAACUGACGCUGAGGCGCGAAAGCGUGGGGAGCAAACAGGAUUAGAUACCCUGGUAGUCCAUGCCGUAAACGAUGAUUACUAGGUGUUGGGGGAUUGACCCCCUCAGUGCCGCAGUUAACACAAUAAGUAAUCCACCUGGGGAGUACGACCGCAAGGUUGAAACUCAAAGGAAUUGACGGGGGCCCGCACAAGCAGUGGAGUAUGUGGUUUAAUUCGACGCAACGCGAAGAACCUUACCAGGUCUUGACAUCAAGUGACCGCCUAAGAGAUUAGGCUUUCCCUUCGGGGACACAAAGACAGGUGGUGCAUGGUUGUCGUCAGCUCGUGUCGUGAGAUGUUGGGUUAAGUCCCGCAACGAGCGCAACCCUUAUCAUUAGUUGCUACGCAAGAGCACUCUAAUGAGACUGCCGUUGACAAAACGGAGGAAGGUGGGGAUGACGUCAAAUCAUCAUGCCCCUUAUGACCAGGGCUACACACGUGCUACAAUGGCGUAAACAAAGGGAAGCAAGCCUGCGAGGGUAAGCAAAUCUCAAAAAUAACGUCUCAGUUCGGAUUGUAGUCUGCAACUCGACUACAUGAAGCUGGAAUCGCUAGUAAUCGCGAAUCAGAAUGUCGCGGUGAAUACGUUCCCGGGUCUUGCACUCACCGCCC